GCCAGGUGUGGUGGCGCAUGCCUGUAAUCCCAGUGACUCAAGAGGCUGAGGCAGGUGGAUUCCAAAAUUGAACAUAGCUUCAGCAACUUGUUGAGGCCCUGAGCAACUCAGCAAGACCUUGUCUCUA
This 127-nucleotide small RNA is filed under the name Marmota monax (woodchuck). The record is from RNAcentral. Lineage: Eukaryota; Metazoa; Chordata; Mammalia; Rodentia; Sciuridae.